Non-coding RNA from Myotis lucifugus (little brown bat), 75 nucleotides. Lineage: Eukaryota; Metazoa; Chordata; Mammalia; Chiroptera; Vespertilionidae. The record is from Rfam.
GGCGGUUCUUGGAUGAUGCACCCCAGAAUCAGGCUCCCUCCUUUCUGGUUCAUGGUGUGUCACCCUAGAAGUGCA